GCCUUGAUCUCCUGCAGGUAUGAAAAAUAUUAUUUUUCAAAUGGUCAGAAGAAACAAUUAUUCAUUUUUUUCACCCAGUCUUUUCAAUAUAUUUUCCCCCUCGAUUCAGAUUCAAAACAGUCAGAGGGGCUUCUUGACAAAAGCAUCCACUGGGUAAAAGGACCCGGGAUGCUAACAAGCUACUAGAAUGAGAUGAUUUAUACACAGCACCCCUGUACUGGAAACAUGGUCCAGCACAUGUGAGAAGAUGGUUCCAUUGCUGAGCUCCACUUGGGGUGACAUCACAGAGAGAAGCUCCCCAAAGGACUUCUCAUGAGGAUCCUAUGGCUUCUUGCCACUUCCAUGGUGGACUCAGGCUGGUUGGUGAGCCUUGCAGUUUCUUCUGGAUUGAACUGCCCUUGCUGAUUUUUGUGUGGUAUCUGCUGAGUGAACUGGUCUGCAGCUGCUGAUUUAUGAGUGGUGACUGCCGAAUGAACUGGACUGCCACUGCUCAUUUAUGUUGGUGUUUUGCUAGAGGACUGGAUUGCUGAUACACUGACAAUGAAGAUCGGACUCACCCCCAAGGAACUAUUUCUUAACAGGUCUACUUAUCCAUGUCCUGAUAACUUUUCUUUUCUGCUACCUCUGGUGGGUAGCGAGCUCAAGGAGAGGUUGAAUCCUUAUUAAAGUAGGUUGAGAGAAAUUUAUGUCUACAUGUAUGUGAGAAAGAGUAAGAGUGAGAGAGAAAGGUAAAAGGAAAGGAAGAGGGAGAAGAAGGAGGGAGUGAGAGCGGGAGGGAGGAGGGGGGAGAGCAUCACAUGUGCAUGUGCUCAUGGCCUAAGAAUGCUUUGGAUCGCCUGGAGCUGUAGGUUGUUGUAAGUGCUAAGAACCAAACUCAAGUCCUCUGGUAGAGCAGCAAGCACUUUUAACCACUGAGCUAUCUCUAUAGCCCCUAUCCUGCCUUUUAAAAGACCAGAUAAUCUAGACUUGAUUCUUUGCUACUUGUCCCCUGUGGUACUUCAAGUACCUUCCUAUUAAACUAUCAAGAAAUCUCUGAAUGCUAGGCUGAAAGAUAUAGCUCAGUGAUAGAGUGAAGUGGAAACUUCUGGUUUCUUUGAAAAGUCAGUUAUGUCAAAUGAUAUUUGCUGGGGCACACAGGUGAAAGGGCGUGUGGUAUUUAGAAGGAAUAUAACCCAACAGACAGUGGACAAUGCUGGAUGAUAUUGGUACGCCUUGCCAUUCAUUGUUUAUUGGUCAUCAUUUGUCAUGACUCCACAGAGAGAAAAGCACCCAAAAACUUCUGGUGGUGUUCUGGCAGCUUCUUGCCACUUCUGUGGACUCAUGGCUGAUUGGCAGAGUGAAGUGGAAGUUUCUGAAUAUGUCAGCUAAUACAGACUCACGUGGUAUUUUUCUGAGGCAAGACCCAUUGGAGGUUUGGAGGGAGUAUAAAUAGGACUCAAGGAACAGUGAGGGUGGGCUUGCACAACUAACUUUCCAGUGCUUUGUUGUCUUUUGUCUUCUUCUUUGCGGAUCUUCCCCUUCCUUAAGAGAGGCACUGCAGAGAACUGCUGGUUCUGAUCACUCCUGCUGACUCCUGCUGAUUUGGUGGUAGCCUGGCGGUUUCUUCUACAUUGUGCCAGUACUGCUGAUUCCUGUUUGCUAUCCUGACACUACUGAACUAGACUGCUAGUAUCCUGACAAUUGGAGAUUGAAAUUGCCCCAAGGAACUUCUUCUCAAUAGCAUACAGCAGAGUCUUGCAGCUUUUCCUGGCUCUACCUGCUGUUUCUGAAUUGUGAAUGGUGUUUGAGAGUGGAUGGAGCUGCCGCUGCUGAUUUGUGUGAACUGAGCUGCUGAUAUCCUGACAACACAGAUUGGAUUUGCUCCAAAAAACAAUUUGAAAACAGCUGCCAUGAAGGAAGCUCUGUCCCAUGAUACACUGGGCCACCACCCGUUCAAAAUCAACAAGGUCAACUGAUCACCAAUGGACUCC
Molecule: long non-coding RNA, 1970 nt
Organism: Mus musculus (house mouse)
Lineage: Eukaryota; Metazoa; Chordata; Mammalia; Rodentia; Muridae
Product: predicted gene, 39539
Exons: 3
Source: RefSeq, a predicted model, not a curated record